Molecule: long non-coding RNA, 385 nt
Organism: Arabidopsis lyrata subsp. lyrata
Lineage: Eukaryota; Viridiplantae; Streptophyta; Magnoliopsida; Brassicales; Brassicaceae
Exons: 3
Source: RefSeq, a predicted model, not a curated record
GGAGACAACCAGAGGAUUUGCUGAUAGUCUCCAGCACAAGUCUCAUGAUCAGGUUCAGGAAGCUGCUGUACUAAAAAAUACGCUCUUGAUUGCCAAUCUCGCUCCCCAAACUAUAAUAUCAGAUAUCAUCGAUUUCUUCAAAGAUGCUGUACAAGUUGUUCAUGUUCAACUUGCUGUACAUCGCCGAGGUAUUCAUAGGAGCUAUGGCUUUGUUGAGUUUGCUUCUGCUACCGAAACAAACAAGGCGCUGGAAAAGAAGAAUGGUGAAUAUUUGCACGAUCGUAAGAUUUUUCUUAAAGUCACUACGAGAGCUCCACAACCCAAGUAAAUUUCUUUUCCAUUUUAUGGAUAUUUGUUUCUCUGACUUAUUGCUAGAGUUUUGAUA